UAUUAGUCAAUGCUCGCAAGAGUGAACUAGCUAACUGAAAUCACAUAAGUGACUUAUGUGAUGUCGUAAGGGAAAAUAAUGAUAUUACCUUACUAAUAGUGUCGUCUAAAACUGGUGCCAGAAGACUCGGUAAGGCCAGAGACACAAAUGUUAAUCGUCUUAAUCAGGCGUAAAGGGUUUGUAGGCAGCUUUGAAAGUAUUGGUUUAACAUAGCCAUAGUAAAACAAUAUUAAUUAAAGCUAGAAUCUAAUAGAGGAUAUUUACGAAAUAAUGCUUGGUAGAGGGCUGAUAUCCGCAGACAUCAAGUGGAGUUCUACUGGCGUAAGCAUUUAUCCAUUAAAGAUUGACGCUGAGAAACGAAGGUGAGGAUAGGAAAUAGGAUUAGAUACCCAGAUACCCCUCUCUGUCAACGAUGAAUGGUAGUUUGUUAGUAUAAAAUAGACUAGUGACGAAGUUAACACGUUAACCAUUCCGCCUUGUGAGUACGACUGCAAAGUUGAAAACAAAAAAAUUAGUCGGUCUCGGAGCAAACGAAGUGAAGUAUGUUAUUUAAU
Molecule: ribosomal RNA, 554 nt
Filed under: Junghuhnia sp. 1 OM-2011
Lineage: Eukaryota; Fungi; Basidiomycota; Agaricomycetes; Polyporales; Steccherinaceae
Description: partial small subunit ribosomal RNA
Rfam family: Bacterial small subunit ribosomal RNA
Source: RNAcentral